UUUUAAAGUUACAAGAAAGGCCUUCGGCCAAAACAGCCCACUAGAAGUAAACACAGCCCGAAGACAAACCCAACCCGAAGGCAAACUAAAACCCAAGCAACAGAACCAGCCCAGAGCUAGCCAAACCCAAAGCAAAAAGAACUUCAUGUAGCAGUUGAAACCAUUACAUGAAGAUCUUAAACACUGAUCCGGUGACUAAACCUACGGCGAUGGAGAGGUAGUCUCCAUGAAUCUCAGUCCUGUGGCCUCGGAGGAGAUCUGCAACAAGAUGGAGAAAGAUUCCAGCUACUCGGAAUCGAUCUAGAAGCCAUGCAAUCCCUAAGACAACCCAGACGUAGGAGUGAGGUGAUUGAAUUGCAGACUUUAGCUAGAACCGUGCUCUGCGAAUCUGAUUCCCUCUGAAGAUGCGAUUGUUCCUCUCUUCCUAGGUGUGAUAUACCAAUGCUGAAAGACAGACUUUCCUUAGAGUGUUGAUUGGUGAGCUUGACUUCCAUCGAACACUGAUCCAUAGAAUUUUUUUUUUUUCCCCUAAAUGAUCCAUAGAAUUAUUUCUUCCCAAUUGUGAAAAGCUUUAUGGAACCCGCAUCUGUCUUGGAUGAAUUUCCAAAGAGGGGAAGAAAAGGUGCAGUUGAAGAAUAGAUUAACGUGGGACUCCGUUUCAGUAUUGCAAAGGGCACAAACGUUAUCAUGGUGAGCCAUGGCUCUGCAAUCAAGGUUUGGAAGCCUGCCCUGAACAGCCAGCCACAUGUUGAAUUUCAUUCUCGGGAUGGAAGGUGUAUGCCAUACAAAGUUGUGCCAAGGAACUGUAGGACCAUGAUUUGAUAGGUGGAAAGUUGUGUGCUUCAAGGUGAAUGAACCAGAAGGGGACACAGACCAAAUCAAUUUGUCGUCCCUGAAAGCAGCAGGUUGUUGUAGAGAGAGGAGUUCAGGGAUUGCAGAGGAUAAUUGAGGUGGAAAGCUCCAAGAAUUGUUGACAAUAAAGUGAGCCAGUUUUGUGUCUUCAUGUAUACCCAAAAAGGAGAGGAUGGAUGGUGGAAAUCGAAAGCAUAGAGGCCCUCCAGAGGACCAAUUAUCCAACCAAAAUGAGUGUGAAGUUCCCAAAUAUAUCUCAGGAUAGCUGCAUGGUUGGACAAUUCUAGGUUGGGCAGACCCAAACCCCCUUCAACCUUAGGUUUGCACAUUGCUUCCCAAUUUAUCUUUCCUCCAUUGGAUUUCAUCUCUGGGCCAUACCAUAAGAAUGAUCUGAAAAUCCUAUUGACUUCAUUGAUAACACUCUUUGGAAGAAUGAAGAUGCUGGACCAAUAAAGCUGUGUGGAUACAAGGACAGAUCUAACAAGCUGCAAUCUACCUGCAUAAGAGUGAGAUCUUGCAGUCCAAUGAGAGAUUCUGUAAGUAAUCUUCUCUAUCAGUUCUCCGUAUUUUCUUAUUUGUGGUUACGUAUGAUAUUUUUUUUUGGUUUUUGGUAUUUGUUGUUGAUUGUGGUUAUGUAUGAUAUUUUUUUAUGGUCUAAGCAUGAAAAUGGAUUUUACUA
Long non-coding RNA from Cornus florida, 1531 nucleotides. RefSeq lists it as uncharacterized. The transcript has 2 exons. Lineage: Eukaryota; Viridiplantae; Streptophyta; Magnoliopsida; Cornales; Cornaceae. The record is from RefSeq and is a predicted model, not a curated record.